GAUGAAGAACGUAGCGAAAUGCGAUAAGUAAUGUGAAUUGCAGAAUUCAGUGAAUCAUCGAAUCUUUGAACGCACCUUGCACUCCUUGGUAUUCCGAGGAGUACGCCUGUUCGAGUGUUAUGAAGCUCUCAAAACGCAAUUGGCUUAAAACCUGAUUGUUGUUUUGGAUUUGAACUUUGCCGUGUUAUAACGGCUGGUUUUAAAAGUAUUAGCUGGUACUAGAACGAAUUGGUUCUACUCAACGUGAUAAUUAUCUGAUCGUUGAGGACAUUCCUUUCACGAGGAAUGGCCAUAGUAAAUUCAAUGGACUGCUUCUAAUCUGGCUUUAAUUCUUUAUUGGAUUAACCACUUUUCAAAUCUGACCUCGAAUCAGGUGGGACUUCCCGCUGAACUUAAGCAUAUCAAUAAGCGGAGGA
This 416-nucleotide unclassified non-coding RNA is filed under the name soil metagenome. RNAcentral describes it as "partial contains 5.8S ribosomal RNA, internal transcribed spacer 2, and large subunit ribosomal RNA". The stretch from base 1 to 120 matches the Rfam family "5.8S ribosomal RNA", at positions 35 to 154 of the family's 154-position model. The record is from RNAcentral.